This 494-nucleotide ribosomal RNA is filed under the name uncultured bacterium. Its description in RNAcentral is "partial 16S ribosomal RNA". It matches the Rfam family "Bacterial small subunit ribosomal RNA", at positions 28 to 507 of the family's 1533-position model. The record is from RNAcentral.
GACGAACGCUGGCGGCGUGCUUAACACAUGCAAGUCGAACGGAAAGGCCUGCUUUCCCUUGUGGAUUGCGGGUACUCGAGUGGCGAACGGGUGAGUAACACGUGAGUGAUCUGCCCCCAACUUGGGUAUAAGCCUGGGAAACUGGGUCUAAUUCCCGAUAGGACUGCAGGGUGGUGCCUGUGGUGGAAAACGAUUUUCUAGUGGUUGGGGAUGAGCUCGCGGCCUAUCAGCUUGUUGGUGGGGUAAUGGCCUACCAAGGCGGCGACGGGUAGCCGGACUGAGAGGGUGGACGGCCACAUUGGGACUGAGAGACGGCCCAGACUCCGACGGGAGGCAGCAGUGGGGAAUAUUGCACAAUGGGCGGAAGCCUGAUGCAGCGACGCCGCGUGGGGGAUGACGGCCUUCGGGUUGUAAACUCCUUUCGACCGAGAGGAAGCCACCUGGUUGGAAGGGUGGUGACGGUAGUGGUAGAAGAAGCACCGGCUAACUACGUG